RNAcentral lists this ribosomal RNA (253 nucleotides) under uncultured bacterium. RNAcentral's name for it is "partial 16S ribosomal RNA". It matches the Rfam family "Bacterial small subunit ribosomal RNA", at positions 524 to 776 of the family's 1533-position model. The record is from RNAcentral.
UACGGAGGGUGCAAGCGUUAUCCGGAUUCAUUGGGUUUAAAGGGUGCGUAGGCGGAACGUUAAGUCAGUGGUGAAAUCCUGCAGCUCAACUGUAGACUUGCCAUUGAUACUGGCGUUCUUGAGUGCGCUUGAAGUAGGCGGAAUGUGUCGUGUAGCGGUGAAAUGCUUAGAUAUGACACAGAACACCAAUUGCGAAGGCAGCUUACUAAGGCGAUACUGACGCUGAGGCACGAAAGCGUGGGGAUCAAACAGG